AAUUUUGCGCAAUGGGCGAAAGCCUGACGCAGCAACGCCGCGUGAAUGUUAAGCCCCUCGGGGUGUAAAGUUCUGUCAGUGGGGACGAAACUUGACGGUACCCACAGAGGAAGCACCGGCUAACUCCGUGCCAGCAGCCGCGGUAAUACGGAGGGUGCAAGCGUUGUCCGGAAUCAUUGGGCGUAAAGAGUUUGUAGGUGGCAUGUUAAGUCUGGUGUUAAAUCCCAAAGCUCAACUUUGGUCCGGCACUGGAUACUGGCAAGCUAGAAUGCGGUAGAGGUAAGGGGAAUUCCUGGUGUAGCGGUGAAAUGCGUAGAUAUCAGGAGGAACAUCGGCGGCGAAAGCGCCUUACCGGGCCGUAAUUGACACUGAGAAACGAAAGCCGGGGUAGCAAAUGGG
This 399-nucleotide ribosomal RNA is filed under the name uncultured bacterium. Its description in RNAcentral is "bacterial SSU rRNA". It matches the Rfam family "Bacterial small subunit ribosomal RNA", at positions 360 to 776 of the family's 1533-position model. The record is from RNAcentral.